This 772-nucleotide long non-coding RNA is filed under the name Nicotiana benthamiana. RNAcentral describes it as "long non-coding RNA (NBEN_LNC009615)". Lineage: Eukaryota; Viridiplantae; Streptophyta; Magnoliopsida; Solanales; Solanaceae. The record is from RNAcentral.
UCUACUCCAUCAAAGGCUCUACUAUUCCUCUCUUUCCAUACGAUCCACAUAAGUGCUAGGGGAGCAACAACUCAUGUCAUGUGUCUUCUCUUCCGUCUCAUAAAACCCAGCUAAAAUUAUUUCUAUUAUGGUGCCCGGCAUCACCCACUCCAUACCACACCAUCUCAAAAUUUUCAACCACAAGUAAGAUGUUAUCCGAGAAUGUAAAAUGAGGCAAUUCACAUUCUCUCCUGAUUCUUUAAACAUGAAGCAUUAGCUAACAUAAGUAAUCUUCCUCGUCCACAAAUUCUCCGCCGUCAAAAUCACUCGUCUGAUAGCUAGCCAAUUGAAGAACCAUUCUCGCUAUUUAUGGAAUCUAUACCAAAUUAUGUGGAAAAGUUGGCUCCUCUCUCAUCAGAAGCUACUCAUAAUAGGACUUACUGGAAAAAACGUUAUUUUUCCCGCCUCCAUUCUCCAUGCAUCAUGUCUAUCCUGUGAUAUUUUUUUAUUGUGAAACAGUACGGGCAAGUUUUGAUAUUCCUCUACCUCCCAGUCUUGCAAGUUCCUCCUAAAUCUCAAGUCUCAUUGCAUUUCUCCCCCUUAUAAGCUCCACAAUCGUAAGACCGGCAUCUUCUUUUGGCUUGAUAUAUUGUACAUGUUCAGAUACGUGACUCUCAAUGGGUUGCUCUCGCACCACCUAUGAUCUCAAAAACUUAUCUUCUUCCCCUUACCCACCCUGAAUAAUAUAUUUCAAUUAAAAUUUUUCCAUCCUUUUAUAAUAUUUCUUCAUAAC